This 30-nucleotide small RNA is filed under the name Bombyx mori (domestic silkworm). RNAcentral describes it as "ovarian small RNA-5259". Lineage: Eukaryota; Metazoa; Arthropoda; Insecta; Lepidoptera; Bombycidae. The record is from RNAcentral.
GCACUUAUCUUUUCGCAGACCGCAGCUCCA